This is an RNA transcript of Dendrobium catenatum, 1193 nucleotides long. It is a transcript of the gene named peptidyl-prolyl cis-trans isomerase NIMA-interacting 4, with no coding region annotated. Lineage: Eukaryota; Viridiplantae; Streptophyta; Magnoliopsida; Asparagales; Orchidaceae. The record is from RefSeq and is a predicted model, not a curated record. The transcript has 6 exons.
AUUUGCCUCAAUGUCGGCCCUAUCGCAUUCCGGAUUCCGCUGUGUCGCGCUCUUAUACAAGCGAUCAGUUGCCGAAACCGCGGGGGAUUUUUGGGAGGAAGUUCGACACAGGCGACUUCGACCAAUUUUAGGUCUUGCAAUCCAGGAAUCUAUCUGGAGUGUCUAAGCUAUGGGUAAAGAUUCUAAGCCCAAGGAAUCAGCAAAAAAGGGGAAGGGAAAGCAGCCUUCUAGUGGAGAGGAAGAGAAGACUUCCAAGGGUAAAGGGAAGGGUGGCAAGUCGGGAGAUGAUCUUGGCACCUGCACCUAUGUUAAAGCAAGGCAUAUCUUAUGUGAGAAACAAGGGCAGAUCAAUGAAGCAUACAAGAAACUGCAAGAAGGUUGGUUGAGCAAUGGAGACAAGGUCCCGCCUGCAGAGUUUGCUAAGGUUGCGGCAGAGUACUCAGAAUGCCCCUCAGGAAAGAAAGGUGGAGAUCUUGGAUGGUUUCCUAGAGGGAAAAUGGCAGGGCCGUUCCAGGAAGUUGCAUUUGGCACACCAGUUGGAGCUACCACAGCACCUUUCAAAUCAACGAUGAGGGGAGCUCGCAUGGAUAUUUCAGAGGAGCUGCUUGAGCUUUUGGAGAUAUCAACUGAGCUCAAGGCUUUGAGACAGAGAAAGAGGAUUCUUUUGGAGAGACGACGAUAGCUUUGAGCAGGCGCUGCUUCUUCUGCGAAGGACUUGGCUUGGAUAACUGCUGAGGUUGAGAGAUUAAAGCAGAAUUUGUUGUCAUCCACUGAGGAGUUUAACUUGUUGCAUCAUCAGUUGGAGACCACUCAAACUAGGAAGAUGAUGCUGCAGGAUCGUUUGCUCAGAAUUAAACAGGAGAUUCGUAGCAUCCAGUUCAGACUUUGACAGCUUUUUUGACUUCUUUCUGGCAUGGAUAUCAUAUCAUACUGUGCGAGGGGAGGAAGAAUUAAUCAGACUGCGCACUCAGUUCGAAGCUGGUUUGUUCCUUUAGACUUCCUCUUAUGCCUCGAAACUCAAGAGGAAUAAUCUUAUGAACAGUUGUUUUCUGUUGAAUGAUUGGUCAUCGUGAGUUGUAGGAAAUGCUUCUGAAUUUAUGUCGAUGGUUCUUAAUCCAUAAGGAUUAGAACGCGAAUAUAUAUCAUAAUCACUGUGACCUUGUGACGCUGUCUUCAUCUUCACAGUUUUUUUC